RNAcentral lists this ribosomal RNA (492 nucleotides) under uncultured bacterium. RNAcentral's name for it is "partial 16S ribosomal RNA". It matches the Rfam family "Bacterial small subunit ribosomal RNA", at positions 29 to 507 of the family's 1533-position model. The record is from RNAcentral.
AGUGAACGCUGGCGGUAGGCCUAACACAUGCAAGUCGAACGGCAGCACAGUAAGAGCUUGCUCUUACGGGUGGCGAGUGGCGGACGGGUGAGGAAUACAUCGGAAUCUACUUUUUCGUGGGGGAUAACGUAGGGAAACUUACGCUAAUACCGCAUACGACCUACGGGUGAAAGCAGGGGAUCUUCGGACCUUGCGCGAUUGAAUGAGCCGAUGCCGGAUUAGCUAGUUGGCGGGGUAAAGGCCCACCAAGGCGACGAUCCGUAGCUGGUCUGAGAGGAUGAUUAGCCACACUGGAACUGAGACACGGUCCAGACUCCUACGGGAGGCAGCAGCGGGGAAUAUUGGACAAUGGGCGCAAGCCUGAUCCAGCCAUACCGCGUGGGUGAAGAAGGCCUUCGGGUUGUAAAGCCCUUUUGUUGGGAAAGAAAAGCAGCAGGUUAAUACCCCGCUGUUCUGACGGUACCCAAAGAAUAAGCACCGGCUAACUUCGUG